CAAUAGCGUAUAUUUAAGUUGUUGCAGUUAAAAAGCUCGUAGUUGGAUUUCGGUUAAGAGCGACCGGUCCGCCGUUUGGUGUGCACUGGUUGGUUUUAACUUCCUGUAGAGGACGUGCUCUGGGUUUAACGACCUGGACUCGGAGUCUACGUGGUUACUUUGAAAAAAUUAGAGUGUUCAAAGCGGGCUUACGCUUGGAUAUUUCAGCAUGGAAUAACACUAUAGGACUCCUGUCCUAUUUCGUUGGUCUCGGGACGGGAGUAAUGAUUAAGAGGAACAGUUGGGGGCAUUCGUAUUUCAUUGUCAGAGGUGAAAUUCUUGGAUUUAUGAAAGACGAACUUCUGCGAAAGCAUUUGCCAAGGAUGUUUUCAUUAA
Molecule: ribosomal RNA, 375 nt
Filed under: uncultured eukaryote
Lineage: Eukaryota
Description: partial 18S ribosomal RNA
Rfam family: Eukaryotic small subunit ribosomal RNA
Source: RNAcentral